AGAUGGCUGCUGAAGACAAGCUACUGCUGCCGCGGCUCCCCGAGCUGUUCAAAACUGGCAAAGUUUCUGGACGAAGCAGAAGUAGCUGCUGAACCUGCUGGUUCCUGGAUAGUCCAGGAGAAAGUGUUCAAGGGCCUGGACCUCCUUGAGAAAGCUGUCAAAAUGUUAUCACAGCUUGACUCCUUCAGCCGAAAUGAAGACAUGUAAGAGAUUGCUUCCACUGACCUGAAGUGCCUGUUGGUGCCCUCACCAUGAAAUAAGUCAACCCCAGCAAGCGUCUGGAUCAUUUGCAGCGGGCUCCAAAACGCUUUAUAAACUACUUAACUCAGUGCCGUUACUAUCAUGUGGCAGAGUUUGAGCUGCCCAAAAUGAGAACAACUCAGCUGAAAAUCACACUACUAAUUCCUCCAUUGCUAUCCUAGCCUCAUUUCUAUGGCAUCUCAAAGACAGGCUAAAAUAGAGAGAUACAAACAGAAGAAGGAGUUGGAGCAUAGGUUAUCUGCAUUGUAAUCUGUUGUGGAAAGUGGUCAAUCAGACGAUGAAUGUGUUCGGGAAUAUUAUCUUCUUCACCUUCAGAGGUGGUUUGGUAUCAGCUUAGAAAAGAUUGAGAGCAUUGACCAGGAAAUAAAAAUCCUGAAAGAAAGAGAGUCUUCAAGAGAGCCCUCAACUUCUAACACAUCUCGCCAGGAAAGGCUUCCAGUGAUACCCUUCAUUCUCGCCCGGGACAUAUCCAAGCCAGCGUAUUUGGAGCUGGUUAUCCAAGUCUGGCAACUAUGAUGGUGAGUGACUGUCAUGAACAACAUCAGAAAUAUGGAAUGGAGAAUUACCAAAUCAGGGAAUAUCCAAGGCAACAUCAGAGGAAUUCAGAAAAGCAGCUCAGCAACAGGAAGAUCAAGAAGAAAAGGAGGAAGAGGAUGAUGAAACAAACACUCUACAGAGCUUGGGAAUGGGAUGACUGUCAGAACAUCCAUCCUAGGGGCAAUGGCAACCGACAGAACAU
This 1000-nucleotide long non-coding RNA is filed under the name Homo sapiens (human). Its description in RNAcentral is "non-protein coding lnc-STIM2-6:1". The record is from RNAcentral. Lineage: Eukaryota; Metazoa; Chordata; Mammalia; Primates; Hominidae.